This is a long non-coding RNA of Manis javanica (Malayan pangolin), 2810 nucleotides long. RefSeq lists it as uncharacterized. Lineage: Eukaryota; Metazoa; Chordata; Mammalia; Pholidota; Manidae. The record is from RefSeq and is a predicted model, not a curated record.
GUCCUAGCGGUCUGGUUGAGUAGGGAGAGAGAAGCGGUCCUAUUCCUGGUGCGCACCACAGAAAAGCGCCCUCUUUCCACCUCCUGGCGUGCCUCCAUAUUGUUAGGGAGGAGGAGAAGAAACGCUGGGCGCGGAAUAAAAAAUGGGGCGGGGCUUCGGAGAGCAACGGUUUGAAAGUGUGCGUCAGGAUUUGGGCGCCAAAUGAUUUGUGUUCCUAUGUACUCAACCCUACUGCUGUUGGAGGUGAUUAAUAUUGUUCGUCUACUUUCUGCAGAAGAAGCUGGGUCUUGAAAAAGAAGAAAUAAUGUGUCCAAGACAUUGGUUAUUUACAUCUAUUGUAUCUGUUUGGGGCAAAUCACAUACAAUGAUGGCUACUGUGAAUUUCCGCCCAAUACCCUUGUUCAGUGAUAUCAAGUUGGUAGCUUGGAAUCAGCCAUGAUGCAGAGUAUUUACACAUGGAAAUCAGCAAACACUACAAAUAAGGCAUUUUUUUUGGAGAGCUGGUUGUUAAACAUUUAUCAGUAAACUAGUAGAUCAUUGUUCAUAGUAUUUUUAGGAUUACUCAUCCUGAAAUAAAUGUGAAUUAUAUGUUAUUUAAUGUGUAGUAUGUAUUAAAAUGUAUGUAUGUCAAAUAUGUAAAUAUAAAAUCAAAAUAGCAUGUUUGGCCCUAAGUUCUCAAAACAUGUUAGCAGUUACUAUUUCAGAGUUGUAUUUAUUUCAUUUUUGCAUCUGUAUUCUUUCCUCCCUUUCUCCUUCAGUUCUGUUUUCUUUCCUCUUCACUCUUUCCCUUCCCCAGUGUCCAAACCUCAAGCGGUGGGGCAUGGGGAAAUAAGAACUGGAAAUCAUUCCAGUUCCCGGUUUCCUCCUCGCCUCCAGUGACUUGACUUUGGCCCCCGUCUCCGCCAGAUCAGACUGCAUGUAUCUGAUUUAGCCUUUGGGGCCCCAGGCAUCAAACAGCGAGCCCGCCAAGUAGCAGCCCUCGGGAAUCCCUGCUCUGUGGAGCCACUUGAGGGAAGGCAGGGGAGAGGGUUGCAGAAGCUCUGCAGGACUCACCCUGGCAGACCUCCUCCUGCUCAUCCUAGCUUUCUUAUGACCCAUUUAGUUCUAGAAAGUCAAAGCUCCUUUAGAAACUGCUGUUUUUCAAAAAGUAAUGCCCCCCCCAGACCACUCCUGAGAUCCAUUAGAAAGGUUUUAGGAAAUGUUCUUGAGAGUAUAUUUGAUUAAAUGACUUUAAGCAGCUGUAAACAGUAGUUGACUAUUCUGUGAAAAAGUGUGCAAAUAUAAUGACUUACUACGAUUUUCAUUUGCCCCCAGUUCUGGAAGCUCUUCAUCUUUGCUCUUCUCUAUUUUAUAUCCCUCAUCAAGAGCUUUUCUGUGUAGUGACUGUUGUCAAACUGGCUCUGGUUUUGAGAAUCAGAUGCCCAUCCUGUUUGUCAAUUUAAUGGCCUGCUUUGAUUCAUUUUGUGAUUAGAAAUCCCUCUGCCCCAUGGCCUAAUUCAGUGUUCAUUAGCUUGCUUUUUAAUGAAGAACUUUGAGAUUUAGUUUUAUCAAGUCUUGGCUGUGCUCUAUUUUAAAUUUUAGGUUACCAUUUUGUCCUAAUUCAAACAAACUAACAGUAACACCUGAAUCUUGAGUUGCAGCUGAGCAUACAAAAAUACCGAUUUGCUAUGAUAUAGCUACCUAUAAUUAUAAUUUUAGUAAGCAGAGUUGUUUAUAGAUUCCAAAAUUUAGAACAAAAAAAGGGAUUUUUAUUUAUGACUUUUGCCACAAUCCCUAAUGAUCUUCCUAGUAUGCUUUAUGAUCAAAAUAGUUCAGAGAUCUAUAACUUUUUUAUUUAUGACAUUGGUGCUAAUUUAUCUAAAUAUAUAAACUUUUAUUUUCAAAUAAUGAUAGAUAAAAAAAUUAAAUUCUAGGAUAAGACCUCUCUUUUAAUUACUUAGUCCCUUAAAAAAUUUUUAAGUCAAAUACUUUCAUCUCAAUUCUGCUGCCCAAAUCAACUUAAAGAGGCUAUGGAUUGGCAUCAGCCCAUCACCUGGGCAAACUGGUUGCUUUUUGGGCUAAAGGUGGCUGUCUGCAGGGGUGAGCUAAUCAUAUAACACAGCCCUGGUAUUAUCCCAGCUGCAAAGCAGAUGGUGCAGUGAGCAGCGGGCAGCUGUGGGGGGCCUGCCCUGUGGUUUCAUCUGCUUACAAACCACAACACACUCUCCCUCUACAAGGGGCUUGAAAACAUUCCCUUCCCUCUCUGCCUCCCAAUCCCCAGUGGAGAUAUGAAAUAUAAAUUCCUUUGCCUAAUAAAAGAUAAUAGAAUAAUUUUCAGAAUGUUGAAAAAAAUUUCUUUGAGUUCAGGCAGAAGGGCUAAGAUCCCCCUGAAAAAUAGGUGUUGUAAUGUGUUUGAACGUUGGGCCAUCUGCUAGGCUAUGGGAACCUGCGGGGUGCAGCUGGCUGUGUGACACAUCAGGGUGUCACUAAUUAAUACAUCACAUGAAAAAUGUUAACACCAUAUUGUAGGAAAUGGUGCCCAGUCGUCAUGUGAAGCUAAAAUUUAAAAGAUAGAUCUAUAAGUGGUUUGUUCUGAUUGGUGUGGCCUAAUGUGAGAUUUAAACUGUGUCAUAUUUGGGAGUAUAAGUAAUAAGCUUUUCAUUCACUUAUUACUGAGAAUAGCUAUAAAGCCUGUCACUUUUCCUUUUAUACCAUGAAAAGCCAAUAAAUUAAUCUUUGAAAAUGUGAAAUAUCCUCCUCUAUUAAAUACAAUGCAAUCAAACAAUAUUCUACCCAAAAGCAUAUCUCCCAGUGUCUUGCCAAUGGGUUUC